AGUGAACGCUGGCGGUAGGCCUAACACAUGCAAGUCGAACGGCAGCACAGUAAGAGCUUGCUCUUACGGGUGGCGAGUGGCGGACGGGUGAGGAAUACAUCGUAAUCUACUUUUUCGUGGGGGAUAACGUAGGGAAACUUACGCUAAUACCGCAUACGACCUACGGGUGAAAGCAGGGGAUCUUCGGACCUUGCGCGAUUGAAUGAGCCGAUGUUGGAUUAGCUCGUUGGCGGGGUAAAGGCCCACCAAGGCGACGAUCCGUAGCUGGUCUGAGAGGCUGAUCAGCCACACUGGAACUGAGACACGGUCCAGACUCCUACGGGAGGCAGCAGUGGGGAAUAUUGGACAAUGGGCGCAAGCCUGAUCCAGCCAUACCGCGUGGGUGAAGAAGGCCUUCGGGUUGUAAAGCCCUUUUGUUGGGAAAGAAAAGCAGCAGGUUAAUACCCCGCUGUUCUGACGGUACCCAAAGAAUAAGCACCGGCUAACUUCGUG
This 492-nucleotide ribosomal RNA is filed under the name uncultured bacterium. Its description in RNAcentral is "partial 16S ribosomal RNA". It matches the Rfam family "Bacterial small subunit ribosomal RNA", at positions 29 to 507 of the family's 1533-position model. The record is from RNAcentral.